RNAcentral lists this ribosomal RNA (496 nucleotides) under uncultured bacterium. RNAcentral describes it as "partial 16S ribosomal RNA". It matches the Rfam family "Bacterial small subunit ribosomal RNA", at positions 29 to 507 of the family's 1533-position model. The record is from RNAcentral.
AUGCACGCUGGCGGCGUGCCUCAUCCAUGCCAGUCGCGCGAACAGACGAGGAGCUUGCUCCUCUGACGUUAGCGGCGGACGGGUGAGUAACACGUGGAUAACCUACCUAUAAGACUGGGAUAACUUCGGGAAACCGGAGCUAAUACCGGAUAAUAUAUUGAACCGCAUGGUUCAAUAGUGAAAGACGGUUUUGCUGUCACUUAUAGAUGGAUCCGCGCCGCAUUAGCUAGUUGGUAAGGUAACGGCUUACCAAGGCAUCGAUGCGUAGCCGACCUGAGAGGGUGAUCGGCCACACUGGAACUGAGACACGGUCCAGACUCCUACGGGAGGCAGCAGUAGGGAAUCUUCCGCAAUGGGCGAAAGCCUGACGGAGCAACGCCGCGUGAGUGAUGAAGGUCUUCGGAUCGUAAAACUCUGUUAUUAGGGAAGAACAAAUGUGUAAGUAACUAUGCACGUCUUGACGGUACCUAAUCAGAAGGCCACGGCUAACUACGUG